UUUUUUUUUUUUUUUUUUGUUUUUUGCCCCUUAGAGAUUUGCACUUCGUAGUUUAUUAACUGCUUUUUUAGUCCAUUAUGUUUAAAUGAUGUAUCUUGGUCAUGAAAUUAUCAAGAUAUCGCAUCUUGGUCCUCAUUUUGAUUUCCUGCGUAAGCUUAGUUUGGACCUGACAAAAGGGAGAGAAAUAGCUCCAAAAAGAGGAGAUUGGAUACCAUAUUAGGAUUAGAAUCUUGUCCAGUAAUUGUAAUUUUAGCAUGGAGGCGCGAUGGCUUACAGGAAUGUUCAUAUUGGUCAUUUUGGGGUUGUUGAUUUUGAUUCAUAAGUUCAUUGCCAAUUUUGUGUUUGAUUUAAAUUGCAUUUGCAUUCCCUAUUUUAUAUCUAUCAAAAGUGAAAAUCAUUCAAAACCAUCCUUACAUUUUGUCAAAUGACUUUUUUCGUCUCUCAUUUUUAAAAUAUUAACUUUAUGUUCUUUACAAAUUCAAAUUAUAAAAAUAUGGUCUCUACCUAAUUUUUUGAUCGUUUUUUAGUCUAAAAUCAUCAUGUGACCUAUAUACAGUUAUUUUUUUUUUAUAUACAAACAUGUCAGAAUCCCACAUUUUUAGUGACAAAAAUAAAUAUAAAUUAGAUCAGAUCCCAUUUUUUAGGAGAAAAAUAAAUAUGGUUCAUGUCAUAUCUUACUUUUUUAGAGACAAAACUGAAUAUGGAUUAGAUCGUUUGUUUAACUACAAAUAAGAUCUAAUCUUUUUGUUUUUUAAAAAAUGACCAUAUGUGGGGUGCGUGAUAGAUUUAAAGUAAAAAGUUAUGAAAAAUUUAAAUUGGAAUCAAAUUUUAUCGACUUGAUUUUGUAAGAAACGUAAAUUUACUACUUUAAAAGUGAAAGAUGAAAAAAAUUAUUUAACAAAAAAACAAGGAAUAUUUUGAACGAUUUUCCCCUACCAAAAUGAUCGAAUUCUAUGUUAUUUUGGUAUGUGUACUAGAAAUUAGAAGUUUUGUGAUUAAUGAGGUCUCUAUUGAGGUCCACAUAUUAUAAGAGCAGAAAAUUAACAUAAAAGUUUCUUCAUGCAACUAAUCACGGAACCUCUUACCUUUAUGACGUAUGGAAAAAUAACAUUAUUGAUUAUGAAGCUAGAUGAAUCAUUUAGUAACUAUCUAUCAGAGAUGCAUUUAACCUUCUCUAUCUCAACUCUCAAUCAAGGUAAAAGAAUUAUUUGCCAACGGAAAUUGAGCCAUACCACUUGGAACUUAGAUUUAGAUCUCCCAUCCUAAAAUCCCUAAAAGAAAAUGAAAAAAGAAAAUAUUCCUUGGCCUCCCUUUAUUUUAUUUCUUUAAAUGGGCAUGUUUGGAUCCAUUCUACUGCUUCUUUAAACUUGAAUUAGAACUCAAUAUAAGAUGCCUUUCAUGGCUUAUGAUCUUCAUAAAACAGCAAAAUCCUUGAUGUUUAACAGCACUGGUACAUCGAGUCUUUCCCAUUCUCAACAUGAGGGUAAUAUCUAUGAUAACAUAUUCAAUAAUCACAAUAUCCACUUAUUAUUUGUAGAGUAGAAUAAUAGCAAUUCCACAGACUGAUAGAUCACUCAGAACUUGACAACGACCUUGACACAGUCUGGGUGUUUCAGGUACUCAA
RNAcentral lists this long non-coding RNA (1624 nucleotides) under Coffea arabica (coffee). Its description in RNAcentral is "long non-coding RNA (CARA_LNC005752)". Lineage: Eukaryota; Viridiplantae; Streptophyta; Magnoliopsida; Gentianales; Rubiaceae. The record is from RNAcentral.